RNAcentral lists this long non-coding RNA (554 nucleotides) under Parasteatoda tepidariorum (common house spider). RNAcentral's name for it is "uncharacterized LOC122271543". The record is from RNAcentral. Lineage: Eukaryota; Metazoa; Arthropoda; Arachnida; Araneae; Theridiidae.
AUAUCACACGAGAGGAAAUAAGUGCAACUGUAAGUGUAACCGCAACUGUAACUGCAAUUUCUCCAAAAAUUGCUCGAAAAAUCCUCGUGUGAUAUAGAAAUCACGGUUGCACGAAAUAUCUGCAACUGUUCAGGCAAUUUCUUAUACGAACCAAUCAGAUCGUUUGCUUUUUAUGACGUUUCAAUUUUAUGUGAUGACGUAUACAAAUGUAAAUAAAAAUGGCGGCGACGUUGGUGAAGAGGAUGAUCGGCUGAAAUUUUUUUAUAGACGAAACGGAACAGUAUUUUAGUUUAAUAAUAACAUUUCCUUUAAAAUUAAAGCAUUAAAAAUACUUUCACACGAUGAGAUAACCAUCUCAAUGCCGUUGAUGUACUACCAUAACAGGAACCUGCACAUGAUUUUAGUAUCGAUAUUUCGUAUAAUCCUGUAAGGUUUAUCUGGUAAAGAAGGAAAGAGAUGUAAUACUGUUUUUAUGGAAGAAAUUAAAAAAUAAGAAAUAAAAAUGAAUAAUGUUCUAAAUGUUUCACUUGACAAUAAAUGUUUUAUUUUUUAAA